RNAcentral lists this ribosomal RNA (243 nucleotides) under uncultured Actinomycetales bacterium. Its description in RNAcentral is "partial 16S ribosomal RNA". It matches the Rfam family "Bacterial small subunit ribosomal RNA", at positions 88 to 334 of the family's 1533-position model. Lineage: Bacteria; Bacillati; Actinomycetota; Actinomycetes; Actinomycetales. The record is from RNAcentral.
UACUCGAGUGGCGAACGGGUGAGUAACACGUGGGUGAUCUGCCCUGCACUUCGGGAUAAGCUUGGGAAACUGGGUCUAAUACCGGAUAGGAACCAUCUUUAGUGUGGUGGCUGGAAAGUUUUUUCGGUGUAGGAUGAGCUCGCGGCCUAUCAGCUUGUUGGUGGGGUAAUGGCCUACCAAGGCGGCGACGGGUAGCCGGCCUGAGAGGGUGUACGGCCACAUUGGGACUGAGAUACGGCCCAG